AGAGAGAGACAUGCGCGCAUAUCAAUAAGCGGAGGAAAAGAAACUAAUUAGGAUUCCCUCAGUAACGGCGAGUGAAGCGGGAAGAGCUCAAAUUUGAAAUCUUCAAGGUUCUACCUUGACGAAUUGUAGUUUAAAGAAGUGUUUUCUGUUGGAGUUUUGGUAAAAGUUCUUUGGAAUAGGACAUCAUAGAGGGUGAGAAUCCCGUAUUUGACCAUUAUUUCCAGCUUUGUGAUACACUUUCAAAGAGUCGGAUUGUUUGGGAAUGCAGUCCAAAAUGGGUGGUAAAUUUCAUCUAAAGCUAAAUAUUGGCGAGAGACCGAUAGCGAACAAGUACCGUGAGGGAAAGAUGAAAAGAACUUUGAAAAGAGAGUUAAACAGUACGUGAAAUUGUCAAAAGGGAAGCGUUUGACACCAGUGUUGUUUUCUCGAAAAUCAAUUAAAAAAGGCAGGAUUUUGUGUUGUAUUGACUUUAUCAGCUUUCUGCACUCUUUUCUUGUCUUUUUUAAUGCACUUUUCGUUUAACAAGUCGACAUCAAUUUCUUUUGUUGUAAAAGGGUCAUUGGAAGGUGGCUUUCUUUUCGGAGAAAGUGUUUAUAGCCUUUGGCCUCUGCAAUCGGAGAGAUUGAGGUCUGCAGCGUAGAUCCUUCGGGGUUAGAUACAUUUGUGCUAAGUUAUAGCCUUUCAUAGACAACUUGUUGACUAUGAUCAGUCAUGUAGCUUACUCGCUUAUGCUAUUUUACCUACGCUUAGGAUGUUGAUGUGAUACUGCGAGCA
This 774-nucleotide ribosomal RNA is filed under the name uncultured Neocallimastigales. RNAcentral's name for it is "partial large subunit ribosomal RNA". It matches the Rfam family "Eukaryotic large subunit ribosomal RNA", at positions 23 to 627 of the family's 3401-position model. Lineage: Eukaryota; Fungi; Neocallimastigomycota; Neocallimastigomycetes; Neocallimastigales. The record is from RNAcentral.